RNAcentral lists this unclassified non-coding RNA (353 nucleotides) under uncultured fungus. RNAcentral's name for it is "partial contains small subunit ribosomal RNA, internal transcribed spacer 1, and 5.8S ribosomal RNA". The stretch from base 1 to 73 matches the Rfam family "Eukaryotic small subunit ribosomal RNA", at positions 1759 to 1831 of the family's 1831-position model. Lineage: Eukaryota; Fungi. The record is from RNAcentral.
GCAAACUUGGUCAUUUAGAGGAAGUAAAAGUCGUAACAAGGUUUCCGUAGGUGAACCUGCGGAAGGAUCAUUAUUGAAUUAAAUGAAGAGACUUUGGUUGUCGCUGGCUCGUUAACUCUGGCAUGUGCACACCUCUGUCUCUUUCAUCCACACACACCUGUGCACUUGUGAGACAGAUGGGGAAUUUAUUUAUGAUUUUUUGGCAACAAAAAUGGAAUAAUUAUUGGACCCUCUGUCUACUCAACCCUCAUAUAAACUCAAUUUAUUUUAAAAUGAAUGUAAUGGAUGUAACACAUCUAAUACUAAGUUUCAACAACGGAUCUCUUGGCUCUCGCAUCGAUGAAGAACGCAGC